Long non-coding RNA from Quercus lobata, 919 nucleotides. RefSeq lists it as uncharacterized. Lineage: Eukaryota; Viridiplantae; Streptophyta; Magnoliopsida; Fagales; Fagaceae. The record is from RefSeq and is a predicted model, not a curated record. The transcript is spliced from 2 exons.
CUCAAGUUUAAACUUUUGGUUAGCCAUAGCUUUUCUAGCAUUCUCGUUUCUUUUCACUGUAUGAGUACAAUUUUUUACAAAUUCCAAAUUAAAUUCCAAUUUCACAUUUCAGAUAUACUAAUAAAUUAUGCUUCCACCUCCGUCACCCUUGUGAUCUCCCUCUAUUGCUUUCAAAAAGGGAAGAAUAUGUUUCGUGAUAUCAAUUUUGCUUAGCAAUUCGGUCACGAAAGAUGAGCGUCUGCAGGAGGGUGUGGUCGCUUAGCAGAUUUAUGAAAUUUAUCUGUUCGUGUACUUUCGGGAGAGGUUUUUUCAUUCCAAUAAUUCCUUCAACACAAUGAUUUACCCUUCUGGAUGUGCAGAUGAUUUGCAUUAUAACUUGUUAUAAUUUAUGCCUUUAAAUUGUAAUCAUUCCUCUUCAAAUGGUGAGCACAAAAAAUGUGAUGACUAUGUAGAGGGAAUCUUCAAAAAGUGAGAAAAAGAAUUUUGAGGCACCUUUAAUUCUCUAGAUCAUUAUUAUCUUGCAAAUUGAAGUUCAUGGGAAGUUGGUGGUUCAGUAUAAUUAAUGACAGCAAAUGUCAUGCAAUUUUUUUGAACUACUAGAGAAUGCAAUGCAUAAAAUCAAGAUGAUUUUCAUUAUGCUAGGAAUUAAAUUGACAAAUACCAUGACAAUGUAAUCUGGAGUGGGUCUGCAUUCCUCAAUCAUUAUGUGAAACAAUAAACCUAGGACUUUGGAAGCUAAAAAUUCUUGCUCGAGCCACAACAAGCCCGCUCAAGCUAGCCAACAAAAUCCAGAUUCUUAGAGAUAAUGAGGGUUUUGGGUCUUCAAGUGUUUUUAGAGAAGCUAGGUGUGGCUUUUCUGUUAAGCUCUUUAGCCAUUCUUUGAGAGGCACGCAGAUUGAGACUUUCUUUGGCUUCUUAA